UGAUGGACGUCUAUUUUCAUCUAUGGCCCCUAAUUAUGUAUAUGGCAGCGCCUAUUACCUCCUAUGGCAGCCCUAUGGUCUAUAUGGCAGCCCUAUUAUGUAUAUGGCAGCCCUAUUCUCUAUAUGGCAGCACUAUGGUCUAUAGGGCAGCACUAUGGUCUAUAUGGCAGACCUAUUACGUAUAUGGCAGCACCGUGGUCUAUAUGGCAGCCCUAUUACGUAUAUGGCAGCCCUAUUACCUAUAUGGCAGCACUAUGGUCUAUAUGGCAGCCCUAUUCUCUAUAUGGCAGCCCUAUUAUGUAUAUGGCAGCCCUAUUCUCUAUAUGGCAGCCCUAUUAUGUAUAACUGGCGCCCUAUUACCUCUAUGGCAAGCCUCUAUGGUCCUAUAUGGCAGCCCUAUUAUGUAUAUGGCAGCCCUAUUCUCUCUAUGGCAGCACUAUGGUCUAUAGGGCAGCCUAUGGUCUAUAUGGCAGCCCUAUUAUCUGUUAUGGCAGCCCACUACUGGUCUAUAUGGCCAGCCCUAAUUAUCUAUAUGGCCAGCCCCUAUUCACCUAUAUCGGCAAGCCUAUUUAUGUAUAACUGGCAGCCUAUUCUCUCUAUGGCAGCCCUAUUACGCUACAUGGCAAGCCCUAUUCGCCUAAUGGGCACGUACCGGUGACGUGGCACUCUGCUGGCGUGCUCCGCUGGGCGCGCGUGGAUAGCGGAAUGGGGACGCGGGGAUGUCGUCGCCCCCCGUAGCGCACAGCGAUGCUUGUUACCGACCCACCAUCCCG
Molecule: long non-coding RNA, 773 nt
Filed under: Coturnix japonica (Japanese quail)
Lineage: Eukaryota; Metazoa; Chordata; Aves; Galliformes; Phasianidae
Description: lncRNA (ENSCJPG00005002043.1)
Source: RNAcentral